GUUGAGAUGACUGAGUUGGCAGAAGCCGACAGAUUAAGGGUGAAGUUUGUAAGGGCGUGGGUUCGAAUCCCACUCUCGGCC
RNAcentral lists this transfer RNA (81 nucleotides) under Salix viminalis (osier). It matches the Rfam family "tRNA". From Rfam's summary of the family: Transfer RNA (tRNA) molecules are approximately 80 nucleotides in length. The record is from RNAcentral. Lineage: Eukaryota; Viridiplantae; Streptophyta; Magnoliopsida; Malpighiales; Salicaceae.